This 1351-nucleotide long non-coding RNA is filed under the name Mytilus galloprovincialis (Mediterranean mussel). Lineage: Eukaryota; Metazoa; Mollusca; Bivalvia; Mytilida; Mytilidae. The record is from RNAcentral.
AUAUACCUGAUCUUAAAUAUGAUCAAAAUCUUUACGGAGUCGAGAGAAAUGAUUAAAUGAAAUAAAAAAUAAAACAGAUUGAUACUAAAACCUGUAGUUCUAGAAAUAUUGUCAUGAUUUACGCCAAGUACUUUUAAAAGUCAGUCAAUUUUAAAUACUUGUUAAUUCAUUCCAUCAAGGGGAGUUUUAUCAGAUUUCCAAUAGAUGUAUCAAAAUUUGAACACUCCAAAAUUAAAGCUAUUUUAUUUAUUUUUUAAACUUUAAUUAUAAAAAAGAAAGUAUUGCACAAUAUGAGAUGUAAAAGGCACAUAAAACAAGAAAGACAAGAAUAGAUUGUAGCAAAAAAAUAAUAUCUAUAGACAAGGUCACAACCAAACAAAAAUAUAUCUCAAUAAUGUUUAUAUUAACAAGAGUUGACACACUAAUAGCCUUACUUAUUGCAAUAUCAAACCGGUAUUUUUUUUCUUCAACAGGGCAAUACAUUCUCGAAACUGGGGAAAACGUUAAAUUCACUAAUGCAUACAAUUAUUUAAGUAUAAAUGAAUUCCAAUGCAAACUAUCUCUAAAGCAUCAUGUAUGAUUUGGUCAAAGGUAAGAUUAAAACUCGUACCUAAAAAAUUAAUAAGAAACAUUACAACAAUUACUGCUGCACACAUACAACCAAUCACUGUACUAUAGAUUCAAAAUGUUUCGUGGAAUACCAAUUUUCAAGGAUUUCUUGGGCAAAGGAAAAUUUUGAAUCAAAAUGUUCAACGAAGUACACAUUAUUAUAUGCAAGCUGAAGACUUUGGCACUUCUACGAAAUCAAACAUCUAUGAAAAUACAAUUUAUCUCAAAUCCACAAAAAUAAAUGAAUUCACAAUAAAUAACUGGUGAAGAAGAUCAUGUUUAUUGCGAAUAAAGGUUUAAAUCCAAAGAAUUUCAUAACAGCAAUAAUAGCAGAAACUGCUUAAAAAAAUAUAUUAGUUUUGGCUUGAUGACACUAUUUGGCUUGAGCAUCAUAAUAGUAUUGUUAUAACAGAAAUUAGUAAUAUUAAAGCAAAAAAAAGCUAAAUUCAGGGACAAUUUAAAUACAUUUACAUAAUAGAGCAUGUAUAUUAGUUAUUUAUAAUAAAAACACUUUGGCAGCAAAUGGAUGAAAGCAAGAUACUUUAAUACCUUUUAGAAUAAAGGUUGUGUAUUUCUCACAUUCAAAAGUAUAACAAAACAAAGAUUAUUUGUACUUGUCCAUCUUAAUGAAUUAACUGCUAUUUCAUGACUGAUUGAUCCAUAAAAAUUAAAAGAUUUUUACCCUAACCCAAACUGUUAUGUUUUAUCAAAUAUCAGAUUCAAAAUUUGUUAUAUAAUUAUG